CCUACGGGAGGCAGCAGUGAGGAAUAUUGGUCAAUGGACGGAAGUCUGAACCAGCCAUGCCGCGUGCAGGAAGACGGCUCUAUGAGUUGUAAACUGCUUUUGUACAAGGGUAAACCUGAAUACGUGUAUUCUGCUGAAAGUACUGUACGAAUAAGGAUCGGCUAACUCCGUGCCAGCAGCCGCGGUAAUACGGAGGAUCCAAGCGUUAUCCGGAUUUAUUGGGUUUAAAGGGUGCGUAGGCGGAUUGAUAAGUUAGAGGUGAAAUGUCCGAGCUUAACUCGGGAACUGCCUCUAAUACUGGUGAUCUAGAGAGUAGAUGCGGUAGGCGGAAUGUAUGGUGUAGCGGUGAAAUGCUUAGAGAUCAUACAGAACACCGAUUGCGAAGGCAGCUUACCAAUCUAUAUCUGACGUUGAGGCACGAAAGCGUGGGGAGCAAACAGGAUUAGAUACCCGGGUAGUC
RNAcentral lists this ribosomal RNA (460 nucleotides) under uncultured bacterium. RNAcentral's name for it is "partial 16S ribosomal RNA". It matches the Rfam family "Bacterial small subunit ribosomal RNA", at positions 338 to 795 of the family's 1533-position model. The record is from RNAcentral.